RNAcentral lists this ribosomal RNA (253 nucleotides) under uncultured bacterium. RNAcentral describes it as "partial 16S ribosomal RNA". It matches the Rfam family "Bacterial small subunit ribosomal RNA", at positions 524 to 776 of the family's 1533-position model. The record is from RNAcentral.
UACGGGGGGGGCAAGCGUUGUUCGGAAUUACUGGGCGUAAAGGGCUCGUAGGCGGCCAACUCAGUCGGACGUGAAAUCCCUCGGCUUAACCGGGGUACUGCGUCCGAUACUGGAUGGCUUGAGUGUGGGAGAGGGAUGCGGAAUUCCAGGUGUAGCGGUGAAAUGCGUAGAUACCUGGAGGAACACCGGUGGCGAAGGCGGCAUCCUGGACUACUACUGACGCUGAGGAGCGAAAGCCAGGGGAGCAAACGGG